RNAcentral lists this ribosomal RNA (503 nucleotides) under uncultured bacterium. RNAcentral's name for it is "partial 16S ribosomal RNA". It matches the Rfam family "Bacterial small subunit ribosomal RNA", at positions 30 to 523 of the family's 1533-position model. The record is from RNAcentral.
AUUGAACGCUGGCGGCAGGCUUAACACAUGCAAGUCGAGCGGGGUGAUGGUGCUUGCACUAUCACUUAGCGGCGGACGGGUGAGUAAUGCUUAGGAAUCUGCCUAUUAGUGGGGGACAACAUCUCGAAAGGGAUGCUAAUACCGCAUACGUCCUACGGGAGAAAGCAGGGGAUCACUUGUGACCUUGCGCUAAUAGAUGAGCCUAAGUCGGAUUAGCUAGUUGGUGGGGUAAAGUCCUACCAAGGCGACGAUCUGUAGCGGGUCUGAGAGGAUGGUCCGCCAAACUGGGACUGAGACACGGCCCAGACUCCUACGGGAGGCAGCAGUGGGGAAUAUUGGACAAUGGGGGGAACCCUGAUCCAGCCAUGCCGCGUGUGUGAAGAAGGCCUUAUGGUUGUAAAGCACUUUAAGCGAGGAGGAGGCUCUUUUGGUUAAUACCCAAGAUGAGUGGACGUUACUCGCAGAAUAAGCACCGGCUAACUCUGUGCCAGCCGCCGCGGUAA